Molecule: ribosomal RNA, 920 nt
Filed under: Aelurostrongylus abstrusus (cat lungworm)
Lineage: Eukaryota; Metazoa; Nematoda; Chromadorea; Rhabditida; Metastrongylidae
Description: partial large subunit ribosomal RNA
Rfam family: Eukaryotic large subunit ribosomal RNA
Source: RNAcentral
CGGUUGGCCUGUUAAUUGAUGCUCGUGUGGUUUUAUCCGUGGCCGGCAAAUGUGUACGUGUAAUGGCGCUCUGGCGCUGGACUAGUGAUCAGACCACCUUGUGGACGUUUACAGGUGUGUGCUCUGUCUUCGGGCUUAGUAUCCUGAUCGACCAUCAAAACGGUCAAACUGGAACUGGUACGGACUCGGGGAAUCCGACUGUCUAAUUAAAACAGAGGAGACAGAUGGUCCUUGCGGACGUUUACUGUCUCUGAUUUCUGCCCAGUGCUCUGAAUGUUAAAUCGUAGUAAUUCGAGUAAGCGCGGGUAAACGGCGGGAGUAACUAUGACUCUCUUAAGGUAGCCAAAUGCCUCGUCAGCUAACUACUGACGCGCAUGAAUGGAUUAACGAGAUUCCCACUGUCCCUAACUACUAUCUAGCGAAACCACAGCCAAGGGAACGGGCUUGGCAAAAAUAGCGGGGAAAGAAGACCCUGUUGAGCUUGACUCUAGUUUGACAUUGUGAAGAAUCAUGAGAGGUGUAGCAUAGGUGGGAGAUUUCGGUCGCCAAUGAAAUACCACCACUUUCAUCGAUUCUUUACUUAUUCGGUGAGAAGAGGAUUGAGUUUCGACUCAUUUUUUAUUUGUCUUAAGUAGAGUCACCUGGUGGCAUUACGACUCUCGCCGAAGACAGUGUCAGGCGGGGAGUUUGACUGGGGCGGUACAUCUGUCAAACUGUAACGCAGGUGUCCUAAGGUUAGCUCAGAGAGGACGGAAACCUCUCGUAGAGCAAAAGGGCAAAAGCUCGCUUGAUCUUGACUUUCAGUACGAGUACAGACCGCGAAAGCGUGGCCUAUCGAUCCUUUUAAUCCAGAUUGUUUCUGGUAAGAGGUGUCAGAAAAGUUACCACAGGGAUAACUGGCUUGUGGCAGCCAAGCGUCC